GAUGAACGCUGGCGGCAUGCCUAAUACAUGCAAGUCGAGCGAACGGACGAGAAGCUUGCUUUUCUGAUGUUAUCGGCGGACGGGUGAGUAACACGUGGAUAACCUACCUAUCAGACUGGGAUAACUUCGGGAAACCGGAGCUACUACCGGAUAAUAUUUUGAACCGCAUGGUUCAAAAGUGAAAGACGGUCUUUCUGUCACUUAUAGAUGGAUCCGCGCUGCAUUAGCUAGUUGGUAAGGUAACGGCUUACCAAGGCAACGAGGCAUAGACGACCUGAGAGGGAGGUCGGCCGCACGGGAAGUGAGGCACGGCCCAGACUCUGACGGGAGGAAGCAGUAGGGAAUCUUACGCAAUGGGCGAAAGCCUGAUGGAGCAACGCCGCGUGAGUGAUGAAGGUCUUAGGAUCGUAAAACGCUGUUAGUAGGGAAGAACAUAUGUGUAAGUAACUGGGAAGAUAUUGACGGUACCGAAUCAGAAAGCCACGGCUAACUACGUG
RNAcentral lists this ribosomal RNA (497 nucleotides) under uncultured bacterium. RNAcentral's name for it is "partial 16S ribosomal RNA". It matches the Rfam family "Bacterial small subunit ribosomal RNA", at positions 28 to 507 of the family's 1533-position model. The record is from RNAcentral.